This is a long non-coding RNA of Scatophagus argus, 1158 nucleotides long. RefSeq lists it as uncharacterized. The transcript has 3 exons. The record is from RefSeq and is a predicted model, not a curated record. Lineage: Eukaryota; Metazoa; Chordata; Actinopteri; Scatophagidae.
UCUAAUCUUUGAUUGUUUUGUGAAGGAUUGGAUGAUUUUACCUCUUGCUGCUGUGAUGUGAGCAGUUUAAAGGGGAAAAAAAAUCAUUAGAAACUAAAGUACAAUGUUUGACUCUACAAUGCAGUGGAGUAGGUUUUUUUUUGGUGUAAUCUGGUAUUUCUGACUUCCCAGUGACAUGUGGGCAGUUGGUGGACAUUUUGCACUGAACAGAAACUCAUGAAAUGUCAUAAAAAAUAAAAAACAUGUCUUUCAAGCAUACAGUACACACUGUACAUAGUGUUUCAUGGAGACAUAAAGCUGAUUCUACCUGCGGAAUGUUAGAACGUGUGACUGUCAAAGACUUUAGAACUCUGUGAUGUCACAAAGGCCUGCAGGGUGCAGAUCAGUCCGUUCUGCGGUUCUGCUCUCACUUUGUUCGAGUGAGUUUCAGCACGAGGACAAACCUUUCAGACAUUUCAGUUUCGACACGGUGAACGAGACACAGAGAAACACCAAGCAACAAGAUGUCUAUGAAUUACAGGGAGAAAGUUCAAUCUUCCACAUCCUCCUCAGAUGACAACUCAGUCGUUGUUUUAGACAUCCUGGCCUCCCCCUCCUCCAAAUACUUCGUGAAGUCUAUUUUGGGGGAGGGCAGCUUUGGAACCGUCACCAAGUGCAUAAAGGCAGCCACAAAAGGAACGGUGGCUGUGAAGAUAAUGAAGAAAAGGAGUUUAACGUCCGAGGCGCAGAAUGAGAUGGCCAUCCUUGAAUACCUGAGAGCUUUCGACUCAGACAGAUUCAAUUUCAGUUUGUAGGUUUGAGUGUAAAGUAAACACUAACUGUUACAUUAGAACUAGUUUGUUUCACCACUUUGUACAGCUGCACCGUCUCUAUUUACGUGAUAAAUGAAUAAAGUGAGAUGUGGCCAAACAUUGCUGCAGAAAGUUGUUUCACCUGAUGCAACAUUCACGUAAAAUGGGAGAGAAAACUAUUACUAACUAGUGACAGACAGGAAGAGACCGACGAUAGUCGAAAGCAGUCUGUGGACAGUCACAUCUGAACUGGCCAACUUAUAUAAUAAUUCAACAAUCAUUUCUCAGUCAUCUCUAUGUAGAAAGCAGGACGGUGAAUCUGAAAGUUCACUCCAUAUGAUUCAAAAUUUAGUCAGUAUUUAUAUGG